RNAcentral lists this antisense RNA (294 nucleotides) under Stutzerimonas stutzeri A1501. RNAcentral's name for it is "Pseudomonas stutzeri A1501 anti ponA RNA". It matches the Rfam family "anti ponA RNA". From Rfam's summary of the family: Transcribed antisense to the penicillin-binding protein 1A gene called ponA. It was identified by RNAseq and the expression was validated by 5' and 3' RACE experiments. Lineage: Bacteria; Pseudomonadati; Pseudomonadota; Gammaproteobacteria; Pseudomonadales; Pseudomonadaceae. The record is from Rfam by way of RNAcentral.
GAAAUUGUCAUCCUCCGCGGCAAGCAGCGCGUGGAUGAAGGCUUGCGGUAUGUCGUCGAAGCGAAUGGGCGAGCGCCGCAUCUCGCCAAACUCCGCGAUCAGCUUGUCAUCGGCGCUGUAGACUCGCAGCGGGAUCUGGAGCUGGAUGCUGCGAAGGGAAUCGACCGAGGGCAGGUUAGGGCUGAGGUAGAGAAAUGCACCGCUGAUGCUGAGCAACAGGGCGCAAAAAACUGCGAAGCACGACCAGAUAAGAAAUUUCAAAAAACGCAUCGGGGUUCUUGGAAUCCAGGAUUU